Long non-coding RNA from Tupaia belangeri chinensis (Chinese tree shrew), 1305 nucleotides. RefSeq lists it as uncharacterized. NCBI's taxonomy places the organism in Eukaryota, Metazoa, Chordata, Mammalia, Scandentia, Tupaiidae. The transcript has 7 exons. The record is from RefSeq and is a predicted model, not a curated record.
GCGCGCCCGACACUAAAGGCUGGCUAAACCCCUUCUCGCGCCUGCUCGGGGAGCGACGGUCGGCGUCGGGGUAACCCCUGGGGCAAGGGUCCUCCUCCGGGUCAAAGCGCACGGUCUAUCCGCGCCCCUGACACAAGCACUUUCUCAGGGAGAGUCUGGGGGCUCCCCCGAAACGCGGGCUACUGGGAAGAAGUGAGAAGAAGGAGGCAACUCACCUCCUGUCGCCCAGAUCGCCUCGGGAUCCCGAAGUUCAAAUGUAGACUCCAACUGCGGAUCCGUGCGUCUCUUUUUAGCUUUAAUCACUGAAAAAGCUUUCCAGCUUUUAACAUCAUGAAAUGGCAGCAUCUGUUGGCCCAGCCUGGUACUACAACAAAGUUCUACAAGACAAUGAAGAACAGAGGAAAAGUAGAACAAUGUAAGACCCUCAAAGAGCCUGAAAGGGGCCUGCUCUAGAGAGCGCUGGUGAUGCAGUGAUGCAAUGCUCAGAAGGUGGUUCCCAGCACUGUAGACAUGAAAUAUGUCAGGCCUGUGCACGAGCACUCAGAGCCAAUGAGUUGGAGGACUUCAGGAGUGGAGGGAGGUGAUCAUGGCAUGACUGGAUCCUGUGGAGAAUUGUAAUGAAGAAGCACUAUGCUAAAGAUCCAGAGCCCUGGUAUAAGGCCCACUUCUGUCACCAUUUGUUGUCACUUAACCUGCCAGUGUUCACUUUCCUGAUAUGCAGAAGGGGAUCCAGCUCAGGAAUUUAUCUCAAAGGUCCAGCUUAUCAUGGGUGUGUGAAUAUGGCUGUUGAUCAGAUGGUGUCCUGUAACAACUAGCAAGUGAUGGGGGGGAGAGUGAGAGUAUAGCAUCCUUUGUUUUUCAUUAACAACUUGCUAAGAGAAAGAGCAAGAAUGGAGAAGAUUAAAUCCAUAUACAACAUACAUUCUGUAGAGAUUCUGGACAGUGAAGCAUUACUAACAGGGCAAUGGAGAAUAGGCAGUACAAGAGUCAUUCGUUUACAUCUCAUUUUCUGGGACCUGUUACUUUCUUGGACUUCAAUAAAGACCACAGUUCCCAUAGUAGUUUUCAAUCAGCCAGUUCCUUUCUUUCCUUCUGUCAAGGAUAGCAGAGAUGGCUUCAAACCAAGAUCUGCAAAGUCAAGUUAACUAGACGUAUUCAACGUCUUCCUUCUCUGAGUGAUUUGUUCUUCUUGGCACCAAAGACUUGACUUUUGUCUUUCAACAAAAAUGUUGCUUCAUCUUCAUAGGUUUUCGAUACUGUGAUUCCUUUCCUUCUCCUUCCUACAGUUAACUUUCCACUUUAAAA